RNAcentral lists this ribosomal RNA (916 nucleotides) under uncultured archaeon. RNAcentral's name for it is "bacterial SSU rRNA". It matches the Rfam family "Archaeal small subunit ribosomal RNA", at positions 1 to 922 of the family's 1478-position model. The record is from RNAcentral.
UUCCGGUUGAUCCCGCCAGAGGCUACUGCUAUCGGGGUCCGACUAAGCCAUGCGAGUUGAGAGGGGUAAGCCCUCGGCAUAUUGCUCAGUAACACGCGGAUAACCUGCCCUUGGGUUUGGGAUAACCCCGGGAAACUGGGACUAAUACCGGAUAGAUCAAAGAAACUGGAAUGUUCUCUGAUCGAAAGCUCCGGCGCCCAAGGAUGGGUCUGCGGCCUAUCAGGUAGUAGUGGGUGUAACGUACCUACUAGCCUACGACGGGUAAGGGUUGUGAGAGCAAGAGCCCUGAGAUGGAUUCUGAGACAUGAAUCCAGGCCCUACGGGGUGCAGCAGGCGCGAAAACUUUACACUGCGGGAAACCGCGAUAAGGGGACCCCGAGUGCCAGCACCUAGUGCUGGCUGUCCAGCUGUUCAAAUAACAGUUGUUAGCAAGGGCCGGGCAAGACCGGUGCCAGCCGCCGCGGUAACACCGGCGGCCCGAGUGGUAGCCGUUAUUAUUGGGUUUAAAGGGUCCGUAGCCGGCCUAUUAAGUCUCUUGGGAAAUCUGGCGACUCAAUCGUCAGGCGUUCAAGAGAUACUGGUAGGCUUGGGACCGGGAGAGGUGGGAGGUACUCCAGGGGUAGGGGUGAAAUCUCGUAAUCCUUGGGGGACCACCGAUGGCGAAGGCAUCCCACCAGAACGGGUCCGACGGUGAGGGACGAAAGCUGGGGGCACGAACCGGAUUAGAUACCCGGGUAGUCCCAGCCGUAAACGAUGCUCGCUAGGUGUCAGGUGCGGUGCGACCGCAUCUGGUGCCGCAGUGAAAACUUGAAGCGAGUCACCUGGGAAGUACGGUCGCAAGGCUGAAACUUAAAGGAAUUGGCGGGGGAGCACUACAACGGGUGGAGCCUGCGGUUCAAUUGGAUUCAACGCCGGG